UGAAAAAUUAGCGGAUGACUUGUGGCUGGGGGUGAAAGGCCAAUCAAACCGGGAGAUAGCUGGUUCUCCCCGAAAGCUAUUUAGGUAGCGCCUCGUGAAUUCAUCUCCGGGGGUAGAGCACUGUUUCGGCAAGGGGGUCAUCCCGACUUACCAACCCGAUGCAAACUGCGAAUACCGGAGAAUGUUAUCACGGGAGACACACGGCGGGUGCUAACGUCCGUCGUGAAGAGGGAAACAACCCAGACCGCCAGCUAAGGUCCCAAAGUCAUGGUUAAGUGGGAAACGAUGUGGGAAGGCCCAGACAGCCAGGAUGUUGGCUUAGAAGCAGCCAUCAUUUAAAGAAAGCGUAAUAGCUCACUGGUCGAGUCGGCCUGCGCGGAAGAUGUAACGGGGCUAAACCAUGCACCGAAGCUGCGGCAGCGACGCUUAUGCGUUGUUGGGUAGGGGAGCGUUCUGUAAGCCUGCGAAGGUGUGCUGUGAGGCAUGCUGGAGGUAUCAGAAGUGCGAAUGCUGACAUAAGUAACGAUAAAGCGGGUGAAAAGCCCGCUCGCCGGAAGACCAAGGGUUCCUGUCCAACGUUAAUCGGGGCAGGGUGAGUCGACCCCUAAGGCGAGGCCGAAAGGCGUAGUCGAUGGGAAACAGGUUAAUAUUCCUGUACUUGGUGUUACUGCGAAGGGGGGACGGAGAAGGCUAUGUUGGCCGGGCGACGGUUGUCCCGGUUUAAGCGUGUAGGCUGGUUUUCCAGGCAAAUCCGGAAAACUAAGGCUGAGGCGUGAUGACGAGGCACUACGGUGCUGAAGCAACAAAUGCCCUGCUUCCAGGAAAAGCCUCUAAGCAUCAGGUAACAUCAAAUCGUACCCCAAACCGACACAGGUGGUCAGGUAGAGAAUACCAAGGCGCUUGAGAGAACUCGGGUGAAGGAACUAGGCAAAAUGGUGCCGUAACUUCGGGAGAAGGCACGCUGAUAUGUAGGUGAAGUCCCUCGCGGAUGGAGCUGAAAUCAGUCGAAGAUACCAGCUGGCUGCAACUGUUUAUUAAAAACACAGCACUGUGCAAACACGAAAGUGGACGUAUACGGUGUGACGCCUGCCCGGUGCCGGAAGGUUAAUUGAUGGGGUUAGCGCAAGCGAAGCUCUUGAUCGAAGCCCCGGUAAACGGCGGCCGUAACUAUAACGGUCCUAAGGUAGCGAAAUUCCUUGUCGGGUAAGUUCCGACCUGCACGAAUGGCGUAAUGAUGGCCAGGCUGUCUCCACCCGAGACUCAGUGAAAUUGAACUCGCUGUGAAGAUG
RNAcentral lists this ribosomal RNA (1289 nucleotides) under Escherichia coli 2-427-07_S1_C1. RNAcentral describes it as "bacterial LSU rRNA". It matches the Rfam family "Bacterial large subunit ribosomal RNA", at positions 790 to 2061 of the family's 2925-position model. The record is from RNAcentral. Lineage: Bacteria; Pseudomonadati; Pseudomonadota; Gammaproteobacteria; Enterobacterales; Enterobacteriaceae.